UACGUAGGGGGCUAGCGUUGUCCGGAAUUAUUGGGCGUAAAGAGCGUGUAGGCGGCUUGUCAAGUCCGGUGUGAAAACUGAGGGCUCAACCCUCAGCCUGCACUGGAAACUGGCUUGCUAGAGUCCGGAAGAGGAGACUGGAAUUCCUGGUGUAGCGGUGAAAUGCGCAGAUAUCAGGAAGAACACCCGUGGCGAAGGCGGGUCUCUGGGACGGUACUGACGCUGAGACGCGAAAGCGUGGGGAGCAAACAGG
Molecule: ribosomal RNA, 253 nt
Filed under: uncultured bacterium
Lineage: Bacteria
Description: partial 16S ribosomal RNA
Rfam family: Bacterial small subunit ribosomal RNA
Source: RNAcentral